This 298-nucleotide signal recognition particle RNA is filed under the name Saimiri boliviensis boliviensis (Bolivian squirrel monkey). RNAcentral's name for it is "Metazoan signal recognition particle RNA (ENSSBOG00000005977.1)". It matches the Rfam family "Metazoan signal recognition particle RNA". From Rfam's summary of the family: The signal recognition particle (SRP) is a universally conserved ribonucleoprotein. It is involved in the co-translational targeting of proteins to membranes. The eukaryotic SRP consists of a 300-nucleotide 7S RNA and six proteins: SRPs 72, 68, 54, 19, 14, and 9. Lineage: Eukaryota; Metazoa; Chordata; Mammalia; Primates; Cebidae. The record is from RNAcentral.
GCUGGGCGCAGUCACACACACCUAUAGUCCCAGCUACUUGGGAGGCUAAGGGAGGAGAACUGCUUGAGUCCAGGAGUUCUAAGUUGUAGUACACUUUAUCAAUCAGGUGUCUGCAUUAAGUUCACCAUCAAUAUGGUGACCUCGGGGAGCAGGAGACGACCAGGUUGCCUAAGGAAGGAAGAACUGGCCCAGGUUGGAAACAGAACAGGUCCAAACUUCCAUGCUAAUCAGUAGUGGGACUGCAUCUAAGAAUAGCCACUGCACUCCAAUCUGGGCAAAAUGGUGAGACCCUGUCUCU